Cavia porcellus (domestic guinea pig) is the source of this 1579-nucleotide long non-coding RNA. RefSeq lists it as uncharacterized. NCBI's taxonomy places the organism in Eukaryota, Metazoa, Chordata, Mammalia, Rodentia, Caviidae. The record is from RefSeq and is a predicted model, not a curated record. The transcript is spliced from 4 exons.
UAAUAAGCAUUUUGUGUGUGUGUGUGUGCGUGCGUGUGUGCAUGCGUGUGCACGUGCUUUGGGAAAAGUCUUUGCUGUUCUCAAAAAGUGUAUAGGCUAGAUCCACUUGUCACAGAAACUGAAAGAGUAAGUUUAAUUUUUUAACAGUUAUUGGAAAUCUUUCAAGGAGCACUCGUUAGGAGCUAAUUGAGGUAUAACCUAGGAGAAGCACUCAGAACCUCUUCAGAAAAGUGAAAUUUGCAAAUACUUGCUUGAAACUUGAAUGCAUUUGAAAAUGUGGAACCUGCUUUGACCUGUGCAUCUUUCCACAAAGCUUGUGCUCUUGGGUUCUGUGUUCUGGAAUCUCCCUACUUAAUACAUGUGUGGUGGUUGUGUGGUCCACGUCUAUUGUCUAAUGGGUCCUUUAAUAGAAGAGUCAGUGCGAGUGUUAAAACUGUGCAGAAGCCUCUGAAAUGUCUGAAAAACUUGUGUACAUCUGCUGGUAUCUGAAAAGCAAAGUGGUAAGUAUUCAAUAAGUAUACCUGGAAUUAAUUAAGGGGUAGAAAUCAAGAAGAGAGCUGCAAUUAUUACUAGAUGAGAUUGAUUUUAGAACAAAAAUAUUUCUGGGGAAUUGUGUUGUAUGCGAUGAGAGAUUCUAUGGUGGUUCCCUCGUGUCAGUAGGGUUUCAGGUUUAUGAGGGGCUGGGUAUGGACCACCCCACGGAAGGGCUGAGUGUUUCUUAUUAUUCUUACUCCCAUCUUCACGAUUCUUAGCCCUGCUUCAGUGAGCUUUCCUCUAGAACGUAAGAACUCUUUUUUUUUUUUUGUCUUUUUUGGGACGGGGUCUCGCUAUGCAGUUCUGGCUGGCCUUGAGCUCACUUUAUAGCCCAGGCUGAUCUCGAAUUUAUAGCAAUUGUCCUGCCUCAGCCUCCCAAGUGGUGGGAUUAUAGACGUGUGCUACUGUGCCCGGUUUGAAUUUACAGAACUGUUAGCACUGUGAAGUAUCCUGACCAGACAGGACCGUGAGGUGCAGAGCCUGAAUGUGUGGCAGCUACAAACCAGCCCUGGUUGAAGUCAGUGGGAAUACUGACCCUCCCUCCGGAAGGAGCCACGGAAGCUGUCAGCCAGUGGACAGCUUUUCGUUCUCAGCAAGGUGCAGGCUGUCUUCUGGUCGGCGGACAUGGUGGAGACACCUCCAGAGCUGCAUAUGACCCAUGAUUUCCUGGAAUCAGUCUAGUGCCUCGGAUGGCUGCGCUGAGAUACUGGAUGUGGAAGAGCUUAAAUGGGAGAAUGACAAGGGCCCCUCCCUUUUCUCUGGAGGAGUAUCUCUAUCCAGGGUGUGGAGUCCCCACCAGACCCUUCUACUCCUGGGAGCGGACCCCUGAACCCCAGCUGGUCCCCACCAGGAUGGUGGGGGAGAGGCGGGCAGGUGAUGCAGCAUUGAGAGGGGUCUCCUUGCAGCCCCCUCCAUCCUACCCACAGCUACAAAUCUUCAAUAUAUAAUUUGCUGUUAUCGCAGCAAUAAAUAAUUUUUGGCGACAGUUUUACUGUGAGACUUUGUGCAGUGUUUUUUUUAUUGACAAAACUGCUAUGAAUCAACA